Molecule: long non-coding RNA, 179 nt
Organism: Octopus sinensis (East Asian common octopus)
Lineage: Eukaryota; Metazoa; Mollusca; Cephalopoda; Octopoda; Octopodidae
Exons: 4
Source: RefSeq, a predicted model, not a curated record
CUCUCUCUCUCUCUCUCUCAAUUUAACCAGUCAUAAUCUGACACAAGAUCAACUCCUCCAAUUCCCCCUCCCCUCUCAAAAAUUCCUUGUCUUGCAAGUUAUUUGGUGACCCUGUCAGUGCUGGUGCAACGUAAAAAGCAUCCAGUCCACACUGUGAAAUGCUUGGCAUUUGGAAGGGU